GGCGAACCGGGCGAACGUUGUUCGGAAUCACUGGGCGUAAAGGGUGCGUAGGCGGGUGGUCCAGUCUGGGGUGAAAUCCCACGGCUCAACCGUGGAAAUGCCUCAGAUACUGACGACCUCGAGGGAGGUAGGGGCGAGCGGAACUGUGGGUGGAGCGGUGAAAUGCGUUGAUAUCCACAGGAACUCCGGUGGCGAAGGCGGCUCGCUGGACCUCUUCUGACGCUGAGGCACGAAAGCUAGGGGAGCAAACGGG
Molecule: ribosomal RNA, 253 nt
Filed under: uncultured bacterium
Lineage: Bacteria
Description: partial 16S ribosomal RNA
Rfam family: Bacterial small subunit ribosomal RNA
Source: RNAcentral